Molecule: long non-coding RNA, 3779 nt
Organism: Corvus hawaiiensis (hawaiian crow)
Lineage: Eukaryota; Metazoa; Chordata; Aves; Passeriformes; Corvidae
Exons: 5
Source: RefSeq, a predicted model, not a curated record
UCCGAGUUCUGUGGCUGCCAUGCAGAGAGCAGCUCAGCCACGCUUUGCAGUAAGGACUUAAAAAAAGAUUCUAAAGCCCAACAGAGACUUAGGGAAAGCUAGGGAUAUAACCAGCAACAAGCCUCUAGUUACUGCCAUAAUCAGUGCAACUGCACUGGUGCGAAAUAGCUGGCUGAGAUAUCAGAUCUGGUAGCCCAGGACUGACUGCAAUAUCAAAACCUUUUGCUAUGGGAAGCAGGGAAACAUAGAGAUAGGAAUGGGCAUGGGUGGUUCCCCAGCCUUGCUUGGCUGCCCUGCUGCCCUUCUCCCCAUGCCACCCAAGUGAGCUCAUCCAUGCCAUGGCCCACACAUCUGCCCAAACUCUUUUACACCACAGCUACUGAGCAUUACAAUAACUGCUGCUAGGAAAGAGCUUACAUAAUGCUCGCCAACAAUGUAAUUUUGAUCAUCUGUGGACUCACGAAAAAUUUCUACGCUGGCUUACACAGGUUGCGGUUUUACUUGCAGCUCUGUAAGCUUUGGAUUAUUAUUUUGAAAGGAAGGUGACUGCAUAUAAAGCCAGCUCUGCAAAGCACUGGGAACAGGACAGGCUCUCAUUUCAGGAGGAGUAUGGCUAAAAUGUAGCUGACACAGGAAGGAUCUGGGAAGCCAUCACACAUGCAAAGACUUUUCUUCCACUUUCCUGUUUUAAAGAGAAGAACAUGUUAAGGGGAAGUGUGUCCAUUCGCAGCCCACAGCUUUACCCCAGCUUGCAGCAGCUCUUCACAGCAAAAAACAGGAGAGGUUUCUUAGUAUUCCUGCAAGAAAACAUCAUGAAUAGGAAGACUCUUUCCCCACAUAAUGUAGCAUUCUGAGAGUUGGAUGUGGAAAAGCUGGCAUGGGGAAUAUGGAUAUUGCAAGGCUGUUUCUCCUCACCAGUAUGGGACAAGGAAGGGAGAAGCACUUAUAAAUGGACAUUAUGAAUGGACCUGAACUUUCUUUGGUCUGAGUCAGAAGAACAUACAUGUGUGUGUCUGUAUGUGUAUAUAUAUAUUUAUAUAUAUAAAAGCCAGUAUGUGUUGGCUGUUUAGCAAGUUUACAUUCCAUUUUCUCUUGUCAUGCUGACACAAAUUAUUUGCUCUUGUGUCUGGACUGCUGUUUGCAAAGGGUGCAGUGACUACUCUUAGCUGUUCUCAUUUGAUUAACUGUCUAAAAUCCAGUUCUUUGGAGGCAGGUGGCAAGUUCCUUAUCAGGUGGCCCAGAGCCUUUAAAUUACAGAAAUUUGCUUUUUCUGUGCAUGGUUGGGAUCCACCAGUCUCCAUUUCAUAGCACACUACCAAGCCCACAGGUGGGGGUCCAUGAGGGCCCCAUCCCAAACCGUGGGGGCUCCCCAUCCACUCAGGCCAGCGCUUGGCAGGGGCUCGGAGAGCAGCUCAGCUCACUGACCCACUGCCAGGGCUCGGCCCUGAGGAACAGCAGCUCUGCUGCCCCUCAGCAUCUUAAUGCAAAGGGACGUGAGCGGCCACACGAUGACAUCGGAUGAUGCGAAAUUCAUUUGCACAGCAGCAACACCCAGGCACUUCGGCCACAGUCCCACUCCUCACCGCCGAGCUCAGAGAGGGGCCUCUGGUCCCCACGGUGCCACCCUCCUGCACCGGAUCCCGGGUUACAGCCCUCAGCUGCCUCUAGAAAGAAAAGAUUUCCCUCCAUGUGAUGCUGCGUGCGUGUCAGCCCGCGGCGCGAUGAUUGAUGACACAGCUGCUUCUGCAACCUCUGUCGGAGAGCUCUAAUUUAAUUAAUGGCUUUCGGCAUGUGUGCAACAUAACUCCUGCAGCACCUCCGUGCCCCGGGGGAGCGCGGGCACGGCGGGGCGGCUGCUCCUGGCACCGGCAGGGAAAUGGGAGGGUGGCAAGACAGAUGUGCAUACACGAGGGCCAGAUGCGAUCGGCCACCUCGCGGGUUUGCAUUAACCUUCACGUAGGCAGCGGCACGUGGAGCCUGCGCUCCGUGAGCCUCCCUCAGCAGGGCAGCAGCAGCAGCCGCCAAAGCUGCCAGGCAUCUGCCGCCUGCCUGCCAUGUCCUCGGGAAAGCCGCGAGGAGGAGGUGAGAACCACCCCACCUGAUGCCUGCUCAGCUUUCUGCCUGCGAUGCACAAGUGGAAACACCUGGACCCAGAAGCAGGGGAGGGGGUAGCAGGUGGGAAAGAGUCAUUUGUUUUCCCCUUGAUUGGCAGCAAUGGGAUAUCUCAAAGGGUUAAUGGUGUCUGCUCAAUCCAGAUGUACAAAAGGGGGGGAAAAAAAGUUAUGCUAAGCUUUCCUGAAGUCUGGAGAAUUCAGAAGAAUGUGUCAAGAGUAUUUCCCAGUUGCAAAAUACUGCAGGAUCUUUUAUCUUCUACCACUGUGCCCUUCAUCCUUGUCAGGAGUAGGGGGUGUGGGGCCAGACCACAGAACAAGAAACUAGAUUAGAGGAAAGCUGGCUAACAUGACACUCGCUGGCCCCCCCAAAACUCCAUCCCGGUUUAAAGUUUGAACCUGUACCCAGACUUCCCACACCUCAUUCAGUCUUACCUAAAGAGAAAGAUUGUUGCCAAGAUAUCAACUAAAUUAGAACCAGUUUUCAUGAAUAGCUGCCUUGGGAGAAGGAAUUGCGGGAGUCUCCUGCAGGUCCCAGCUUAGUGGGCUUUCCCCUGUCUCUCCACCUCUAAGCCCAGUCACUGUUGACCUUUAAGCCCCACCACUGAUGAAGGCUUAAGUGUAACCUUCAAGCCUGGUACCAUCUACACUCCUUGACAUAAUAAAGCUCAGCCUUCAAGAGAGAAGCUUCUGUCUUCCAGACCAGCAGUUCUCAGUUCAAGAAAGAGCCAAUGACAGAGACACUAACAGGUUUUUCAUUUGCUAUUGAAAAGAACAAAGAACAAGGGCAAAGGAAAAACCUCAGAGAACUUCCAUCAGCUCCCCAAAUGGUCCCCAGCUGAAUGGGUUUGGGAAGAAGGAUAAACAUUUUAUUUUCUUCAGCAAGCCCUGCAGCAUUUGUCCAUCAUUUUCUUUGAGAUGAGCCAGUCUCAUUUAACUCCAGAAUUUACUGGUAAAAAAUAUUCCUCUAUCUUGUUUUCCUGGAAUAUUUCAGCCUGGCUCUGCAGUCAGGCAUUUCUGAAGAAUUUCAGGCAUUGCUUCAGUUCAGCAGAAUCUUCAACUUUGGACGAGGUUUUAAAAAUAGUUAGCUUCUACCUUUUUAUUCUUUUUUUGGGGGCUUUUUUUUCCCUUUCCUUGCUGUUUCCUUUUCAUUACCAAGGUACAGCUGGAAAGAGGGAGAGAGACAGAGAUUCUCCUUUGUUUUGAACUUUCAGUUGGACCAAAGACUUAAGCUUCAGAAAAGUGAUGCUGCUCUCCCAAAGGCCAUCCUUUGCUUCUGUUAUGCCUCGUUGCCUCGCCUCCCUACAUGAGAGAAAACCCCCAACAAUAUCGUCUCCCUCGAGCUCUAAGAAAACAGGGGAUGAAAUCCCAGCUUCUCUUCAUGUGUAGCACACUCACACUGGCAAAGAGCUGGGCUGAAGGGCUCAGGGGGAAGGAUAUGCAAUAGGAAGAAGAAAGCACCUGUGAAUUUCCUUUAUUAAAAGAUGAGAGGAUUUAAAAUCCAAAAUUCUGCUGAGAGACAUCAACCCACUGGGAAUGCCUGGAACAGGUAUCUGGAAAGGAGCUCCACAGACAUUUCCACAAGAAGCAAAUUCUCCCAAUGGGUUUCUGCCUUAACCCCACCAACGUCUGAUAUUGUGUCACUGAUCCUGAGAUAAAAAACCUAAA